AUGCCUUUCGCUCCGCGUGCGUUCCACCAUAAAACGGACGUCCGCGCGCGGAACGUUAGGAGCCGGUUCUCCGUUAAACUCCUCAUCAGAACCGUCGAAGUAUAUCCACGUUAAAUUAGAUAUUUUUAAUCAAAACGUUUGUUUAUAUUUUAUAUUUUUUAUCGUCGACGUUUUCCCGCCAAUCGAGGAAGAAGCCCGGUGAGAAGGACGCGCAGAGGGGACUGUUGACGGUGUGACUCCGGACUCGGCAGCUGGACUCUGUGGCUCUCGUUGUUUCUCCACCUUCUCCGUCGAACCGCUCGAACUUUACCCGCCGUAGAUGAGCUGCAGAGCGGACAGUGAUGAAGACAGCUGCGGCAAACGGAGAGUGGCGUACGUGUACAGCCCGGAGUACAUCGAGACCUGCGACUCUCUGUCCAAAGUACCGAACCGGGCCAGCAUGGUCCACUCACUGAUAGAAGCCUACGGACUGCUACAACACAUGAGCACCGUCAAACCUCGGCUGGCCUCCAUCGAGGAAAUGGCAAAGUUCCACACAGACUCGUACCUGGAGCAUCUCCACAAGAUCAGCCAGGACGGGGACAACGACGACCCGCAGUCAGUCGACUAUGGCCUGGGUUACGACUGUCCAGUGGUGGAGGGGAUAUAUGACUAUGCGGCGGCAGUAGGUGGCGCCACGCUGACGGCGGCCCAGUGUCUGCUGGACCAAAAGUGUGACGUGGCCAUCAACUGGGCUGGAGGGUGGCACCAUGCCAAGAAGGACGAGGCGUCAGGCUUCUGUUACGUGAACGACGCCGUGUUGGGGAUUCUCAGACUGAGGGAGAAGUACGAGAGGGUCCUGUACGUGGACGUCGACCUGCAUCACGGAGAUGGUGUCGAAGACGCCUUCAGCUUCACGUCCAAAGUCAUGACCGUCUCCCUGCACAAGUUCUCUCCUGGAUUCUUCCCAGGGACGGGUGACCUGUGUGACACGGGGCUGGGUAAAGGCCGUUGGUACGCUGUAAAUGUCCCCCUUGAGGACGGCAUCAAGGAUGACCGAUACUACCAGAUUUUUACCAGUGUGAUGCAGGAAGUGCGGGCACAGUUCAACCCGGAGGCGAUGGUGAUGCAACUGGGCGCGGACACCAUCGCGGGCGACCCCAUGUGCUCCUUUAACAUGACCCCGGUGGGGGUGGGCAAGUGUCUGCAGUAUGUCUUGGGGUGGCAGCUACCUACACUGUUGCUGGGUGGAGGAGGUUAUAACCUGGCUAAUACGGCUCGCUGUUGGACCUACCUGACGGCAGCAGUGCUGGGAAAGACUCUUUCGUCCGAGAUACCGGACCACGAGUUCUUCACAGAGUACGGACCCGACUACUCGCUGGAGAUCAGCCCGAGCUGUCGACCGGACCGCAACGACACCAAACACCUGGACCAGGUUAUCAGCACCAUCAAAGGGAAUUUAAAGAAUGUGGUUUAGGAGUCAGCAGCCUCAGCCCUCCUCCUCCACCUCCUCCUCCUCCUUCUCCUUCCACACCAUGUUUCCAAACCAGGUCGGCGCUCGGCGGCUUUAAUGAAGACAAUAUGGAGCGGACCCCUUCGGCCCCGAGGCACGGAGCGAACGAGGGAGGGAUGAAGCCGAGUUUUGGAAAACAUUAGCUGAGUGUUUCCAGGGGAAAACAGUUUAAUAGGAGGAGGAGGAGGAGGAGGUGGUGGUUGCUGUACAAUGUUCACUGUUUUUAAUCCUUUUGUUUUCUGGGGGGUGAAAGGUAUGUAUGUUUGUGUGGCGUUUAAACGGGGAAAACAGAUUCGUCUGGUGUCACGUUCACCUCGGGGGGACAGAUGAGCGCUAAAACAGACGACGACGAAGGUUCGCCUCGUUUAGACUCUCCGAACAAGUCUGGAAAGAGUCUUGACAAGUCUUGAGAAACUUGGAAAGUUUACUAAUAAACAGUGUGGAAAAGGGUUCUGCCGGUUUGCACACAUUGUUUAGAGCCCUGGGCAACAAAAAGAAAUCUGCAAAUUAAAACAUCUGGACAGAGUUUUGAAUUUUAAAUGGAAAAUAUGCAGGGAAAGUUUUUUUUAUUUUUUCUUAUUUUCCCCCCCAAAAACAAAGAUUACAUGAACUUUUUUAGGAGGUUUUAGAUGAAAGCAGCUGUCCUUGACUUGUCCGGCACGACCGGAGACGAAAGUAAAAUCAGUUCAGGUCAGUAAACAAACAUCGAAGUCCGAAUUUAUCCUUUUAAACGUCUUUAAAUGUUUAAACGUCACAAUCUUCAAGUGGCAACCUCCAGUGUGGAAAGUUCCUCUUGUCGUCCACUUGAGGCUGGCUCCAGAAGUGAGUCAGUCUCCAUAAGUCCCCAUGUUCAAAUGUCCAACUUCACAGCAGAAAUAAACAUGUUUACAGCCUGGUACGACGGCCAAGAUCCUGGCUAAUCUAAAAAUCGGUAAAGACGUGGAUAAUCAAGCUGAAUGACGCCUGGUUGCUCAACCACCACAGAGGUUGCCACUUGGGUUCUAUGUUUGUAGAUGUUCUUCAAUGAAAACAUUGAAUCCAGUCUGCAAUACAAACAGUUAAUCUGUUAAAGAAUACAUAAAGUCUGUCUCUUUUUAUAAGCCGAUAAAAUCCUGAAACGUUUCUAAGAAAAGACUCAAAGUGUGUCUGAUUAUUUCCACGUCCGUCUGUUCAGCUGUUCAGAGUUUGUGAUGUGGCACCGCCGUCGUCGCGUUCCACCAGAAAUCUUUUAAAAUCCUCCUCAGAUGAAGCUGAGCUGCAUGCGAAGGCUCGAGAUGUUUGAGAAAUGAAUCAGAUCCGUUUUUUGGGAUUACUCUGAGUUUUUAAGGCCAAGUCCCAUUUUUUAAAUUUGUGACCAGAGAAACAUCCCAGCCUGGUUUUCCGAACUCCGUCUUCUAAAGUUCUUGCUCUGCUGUAAGAUCAAAAGCUCCAGAAGAAGAUGGACCAUGAGUCAAUGUUGAUAGUUUUUUGCUUUGUUUUUGUUUUUAAAGGUGCAGUGUGUCGGAUUUAGUGGCAUCUAGUGACGAAGUUGUAGGCUGCAACCAACUGAAUACCCGUCUGCAGAACAAAACACUAUUUGUUUAAUUUUCAGGUGAUUACACAGUAAUUAAACUCGUUAGACUCCCAUGCUACAAACUGGACCUUUCCGUCUUUAAAGGUUGCAUUGUCUUUCGUAACGCGAAGGAGAAAUUACCGUGCCGGUAAAAUAUGCGAAAUAUGACGUGCAUUAUAUUAAAUUUCUGACAUAGAGCCCUAUAAAUCUGACACAUUGCAUCUUUAAGAAGCUGCUGACUGAAAAUAAAAACACAUUUUUAACAUUUUUAACGUUUAAACUUCCAACAUGUUUAAUUCCCGACAUAUUUGUACGUCAAAAACUCGUCGUUUGACCAAAAAUCUACAAAUUCACAUGAAUUUUUUUGUGUAGAAAUAUUUUAACGUCUGUCAAAUUAACUGUUGUGUCGACUUGUUUUGUGGGUUUGUUUCCAUUUUUUUAAGCAUGUUUUGUUGAAAUAAAAAGACAGAAAAGCAGC
Molecule: RNA transcript, 3522 nt
Organism: Larimichthys crocea (large yellow croaker)
Lineage: Eukaryota; Metazoa; Chordata; Actinopteri; Sciaenidae
Gene: hdac8
Gene name: histone deacetylase 8
Exons: 12
Source: RefSeq, a predicted model, not a curated record